UACAGAGGUCUCAAGCGUUGUUCGGAUUCAUUGGGCGUAAAGGGUGCGUAGGUGGCGCCGUAAGUCGGGUGUGAAAUUUCGGAGCUUAACUCCGAAACUGCAUUCGAUACUGCGGUGCUUGAGGACUGGAGAGGAGACUGGAAUUCAUGGUGUAGCAGUGAAAUGCGUAGAGAUCUUGAGGAAGACCAGUGGCGAAGGCGGGUCUCUGGACAGUUCCUGACACUGAGGCACGAAGGCCAGGGGAGCAAACGGG
RNAcentral lists this ribosomal RNA (253 nucleotides) under uncultured bacterium. Its description in RNAcentral is "partial 16S ribosomal RNA". It matches the Rfam family "Bacterial small subunit ribosomal RNA", at positions 524 to 776 of the family's 1533-position model. The record is from RNAcentral.